RNAcentral lists this ribosomal RNA (255 nucleotides) under uncultured bacterium. Its description in RNAcentral is "partial 16S ribosomal RNA". It matches the Rfam family "Bacterial small subunit ribosomal RNA", at positions 524 to 777 of the family's 1533-position model. The record is from RNAcentral.
GACGUGGGGGGCGAGCGUUGUCCGGAAUUACUGGGCGUCAAGCGCGCGUAGGCGGGCUCGCAGGCGGCGUGUGGAAGGCGGGGGCUCAACCCUGAGCUUGCAGUGGGUACGGGCAGACUAGAGUGCGGUAGGGGAGACUGGAAUUCCUGGGUGUAGCGGUGAAAUUCGUAGAUAUCGGGAGGAACACCAGUGGCGAAGGCGGCGAUCUGGGAAGAUACUGACGCUGAGGUGCGAAAGCGUGGGGAGCAAACAGGG